RNAcentral lists this ribosomal RNA (496 nucleotides) under uncultured bacterium. Its description in RNAcentral is "partial 16S ribosomal RNA". It matches the Rfam family "Bacterial small subunit ribosomal RNA", at positions 28 to 506 of the family's 1533-position model. The record is from RNAcentral.
GAUGAACGCUGGCGGCGUGCCUAAUACAUGCAAGUCGAGCGAACAGACGAGGAGCUUGCUCCUCUGACGUUAGCGGCGGACGGGUGAGUAACACGUGGAUAACCUACCUAUAAGACUGGGAUAACUUCGGGAAACCGGAGCUAAUACCGGAUAAUAUAUUGAACCGCAUGGUUCAAUAGUGAAAGACGGUUUUGCUGUCACUUAUAGAUGGAUCCGCGCCGCAUUAGCUAGUUGGUAAGGUAACGGCUUACCAAGGCAACGAUGCGUAGCCGACCUGAGAGGGGGAUCGGCCACACUGGAACUGAGACACGGCCCAGACCCCUAGGGGGGGCAGAAGUAGGGAAUCUUCCGAAAUGGGCGAAAGCCUGACGGAGCAACGCCGCGUGAGUGAUGAAGGUCUUCGGAUCGUAAAACCCUGUUAUUAGGGAAGAACAAAUGUGUAAGUAACGAUGCACGUCUUGACGGUACCUAACCAGAAAGCCCCGGCUAACUACGU